UCAGUGCAUCAGAAGACAGACAUAAAACAGGCAAAACUCCAUGUAAAUAUAGAGGUGUUUUAUUAUAAUGUACUAAGAAAUAAAUUUUUUCAAGCUUCAUGGUCGCUCGGAGAGGGUUUCUCUCACUACUAGCAAGUGGGGAGUGUGAAAUUAAAAAAUCCGGAGUGGAGCUGUAAAAAUGGGGGCCUUGUGGGUGUGACGGGAAAUUGAUGUCGCUCCGCUCCAGUGAUCCAAUCCAAAGACUAUAGAAUACCCUUAAAGGGAUUUUGUCCAAUCAGCGCGUUGCUUGGGGACACGCAAAGCUUGAUGCGUUGGUGUUUGCAACCAGUUUUGCUGGUGAAUGGACACUGAGAGAAGCUCUUUGAUGUUGGUGCAAGAAACCGUUUAACUCACCUGCAUUCAGAAACACCAGCUGGAUUCUUUGCUGAACUGGCUGAGUCCCUCUGCUUUAACAUUUGAAUCAUAAUAGGUUAUAUAUCCUUUUCCUCCCAAGCCAUGUCUACAUUAGAAAAUCAAAGUCCAGCCAAUCCGAAUACCUCCACUCAUGUCCACACCACAGCAUGGUGUCUGUCUGUCUGCUCUGAAUUUG
This is a long non-coding RNA of Sinocyclocheilus rhinocerous, 589 nucleotides long. RefSeq lists it as uncharacterized. Lineage: Eukaryota; Metazoa; Chordata; Actinopteri; Cypriniformes; Cyprinidae. The transcript is spliced from 3 exons. The record is from RefSeq and is a predicted model, not a curated record.